GCAGGUUCGGGUCGAACGCAGUGAGACAACGGAGCCGCUUGCGGCGACGGCCCGAAGGGCGAGGCGAAGCCGAGUCAUCCUGCACGACCCACCA
RNAcentral lists this small RNA (94 nucleotides) under Klebsiella pneumoniae. Its description in RNAcentral is "partial RtT sRNA". It matches the Rfam family "RtT RNA", at positions 37 to 130 of the family's 130-position model. Rfam says of the family: This family represents a bacterial cis-regulatory element known as RtT RNA. The exact function of RtT is unknown although it is thought that it may be involved in changing the cellular response in relation to amino acid starvation. Lineage: Bacteria; Pseudomonadati; Pseudomonadota; Gammaproteobacteria; Enterobacterales; Enterobacteriaceae. The record is from RNAcentral. RNAcentral also lists the same sequence under 1 other name.